This 344-nucleotide transfer-messenger RNA is filed under the name human gut metagenome. RNAcentral describes it as "Alphaproteobacteria transfer-messenger RNA". It matches the Rfam family "Alphaproteobacteria transfer-messenger RNA". From Rfam's summary of the family: Bacterial tmRNA, also known as 10Sa RNA or SsrA, is named for its dual tRNA and mRNA-like properties. Its role is to liberate the mRNA from a stalled ribosome. To accomplish this part of the tmRNA is used as a reading frame that ends in a translation stop signal. The record is from RNAcentral.
CCUUGCAAAAAAAAUAAAGAUCGCUUAAAAUAAUAGGCGUUGAGCAAUCAACUGUGACACCAGAGGCUGUGUGAAAUAGAUAUUCUGGACCCGGGGGCAGUACCCGGCGCCUCCACCAAAACAACUUUUAAGGGGGCGAAACAGGAUCGACAGGGUAUAGUAAAGGCAUUUUGCCGUGUUCGGUGAGAUACCACCGUUAUCGGUUCAAAAUAAAAUGAAUGCUAACGAUAAUGAAUUAGCACCUGUUGCUUUGGCUGCUUAAUUUAGCAGUUGCAACAAACGCAAAUCCUCAUAACUAUGGUUAGUUGUGAGUGGGGAGUGAGCCACCCAGCAACAGAACGGCU